UCCCUGGUGGCUCAGUUGGUAAAGAAUCUGCCUACAAUGCAGGAGACCUGGGUUCGAUUCCUGGGUUGGGAA
This 72-nucleotide transfer RNA is filed under the name Bos taurus (domestic cattle). It matches the Rfam family "tRNA". Rfam says of the family: Transfer RNA (tRNA) molecules are approximately 80 nucleotides in length. Their secondary structure includes four short double-helical elements and three loops (D, anti-codon, and T loops). Lineage: Eukaryota; Metazoa; Chordata; Mammalia; Artiodactyla; Bovidae. The record is from Rfam by way of RNAcentral. RNAcentral also lists the same sequence under 4 other names.